RNAcentral lists this unclassified non-coding RNA (387 nucleotides) under Hevea brasiliensis (rubber tree). The record is from RNAcentral. Lineage: Eukaryota; Viridiplantae; Streptophyta; Magnoliopsida; Malpighiales; Euphorbiaceae.
GAUCAAAACUUCAAAUGUUAAGGUAUGUCUUCCAACAAAUUGUAAAUUUUUAUUUUACUGGAAGAAAUAUAGUGCGUGAAACAGACAGGCAUCCUUUGGUUUAACAUUUGUUUGCAUGGUGCAUUUGAAAAUGUUUUACCUUUUGGUUACCACAUAGAACUGCAACCGCUUGUUCAUAUGCAAAUUAUUUAGGCUUACAUCAAUUACUAAACAUCACAAUUUUCUGGCCAUCAGUUUUGAGCUAAUGUCGCUACUAGUGGCUGUAAAAGCAGUGUUACCUUGUGUGUAUUUUGAUCUAUUUCGGGCUCAAAUUGUUGAGAAUCAUAAUUGUGUUGACCUAAUUCGGAUCAAUCUUGGGUUGCUGAAGUUGAGCACACUGAAAGGACG